AGGCUUAACACAUGCAAGUCGAGCGCCCCGCAAGGGGAGCGGCAGACGGGUGAGUAACGCGUGGGAACGUACCCUUUACUACGGAAUAACGCAGGGAAACUUGUGCUAAUACCGUAUGUGCCCUUCGGGGGAAAGAUUUAUCGGUAAAGGAUCGGCCCGCGUUGGAUUAGCUAGUUGGUGGGGUAAAGGCCUACCAAGGCGACGAUCCAUAGCUGGUCUGAGAGGAUGAUCAGCCACAUUGGGACUGAGACACGGCCCAAACUCCUACGGGAGGCAGCAGUGGGGAAUAUUGGACAAUGGGCGCAAGCCUGAUCCAGCCAUGCCGCGUGAGUGAUGAAGGCCCUAGGGUUGUAAAGCUCUUUCACCGGAGAAGAUAAUGACGGUAUCCGGAGAAGAACCCCGGGUAACUUCGUGCCAG
This 418-nucleotide ribosomal RNA is filed under the name Rhizobium etli. Its description in RNAcentral is "bacterial SSU rRNA". It matches the Rfam family "Bacterial small subunit ribosomal RNA", at positions 44 to 511 of the family's 1533-position model. The record is from RNAcentral. Lineage: Bacteria; Pseudomonadati; Pseudomonadota; Alphaproteobacteria; Hyphomicrobiales; Rhizobiaceae.